This is a long non-coding RNA of Mugil cephalus (flathead mullet), 5243 nucleotides long. RefSeq lists it as uncharacterized. The record is from RefSeq and is a predicted model, not a curated record. The transcript is spliced from 2 exons. NCBI's taxonomy places the organism in Eukaryota, Metazoa, Chordata, Actinopteri, Mugiliformes, Mugilidae.
CUGGUACUCUUCAUCAUAGCCAUCGUAAAGUUGCCCUGGGGAAAGAGGAUCAAAAUCUUGGUGAAGACUCAAAGAAGGACCAAUCAGGUGCCGAUUGGGCAGAUAACCAAUGAUGAUAAGAAUAUUUUAUUUGUGUGUCUUAGUUGUUAUUUAUUUGUUAUUAUUUAGUUCAUUAAAAGCGGAACUGCUCUUUUAAUUCUUCACGACAAUAACUUUAACUGUGCCAAAAUAAUAACUUAGAGAAGAGCGAUAUGAAGCUUUUUAUCGCCAUUGUCUGGUGGAAAACAACAAAAUAGAGUUGGCAGGUGUUUGGUACGGAAGGGAUAAAAGAAACUAUAGCAGCAUGAAGAUAGCAAACUAUAGCAGCAUGCACGCAGCACACAAAUUACGUAAUUUUUGAGGUAAAAAGCAGCAUUUUGAAAAAGUAAACAUUUAAAAAAAAAGUAAACAAUUAGCAUAAAUUGGUCAUUAUUGGUAAAAAAGUGGUUUCAAAAUCCUGUUUUUUUUUUUUUUUUUUUUUUUUUUUAUUUAAUUUAAUUUAUUUUUUUCCAAGUAGUAGGGCUGUAAAAAUUACAGCGUUAACUCGGAUUAAUCCAUCAUCUUCAUUAAUCUGAUUAAAAAAAUUUAGCCCAUCUGCCACAUAAAAUCACACUGGAGGUCUCUGGCAAUGCAUUUGGGGUAGACCCUUAGAGUCAUCAUCAUGCAUACACAAAUAAGCAGUUGAUCUGGUAGUGACAGGCAGCACAUUAAUGUGAAUAAAUGUUUAAAAAAAAAAAAAGACAAAUAGUUAAAUUAUGAUAAGCUAAGAAACACCUGGUGGCUAUUGUAGUGUGUUCUGCCCAUCUGUAUUAUGCAGCAUUGUCCAGUCAUCUUGAUUUCAUUUGUCUGAAUCAUCUCAUAUCCCUACGCUAUCCUUAUAGACCAGUAUGUUAAAGGUAUUGGCCAUAAGACCACGACCCAUGAGCCAUAAUCUAAACCAUAUUGAAUAUUUGGUGAAAGAGCUGAACCAUGCAGUGUGGAGAAGGCACCCUUCAAGCCUGAGACAGCUGGAGCAGGUUACUCAAGAAGAGUGGGCAAAAAUACCUGUCAACAAGUGCAGAAGUCUCAUCGAGAGUUACAGAAAUCGUCUGAGAUUGGAACAAUAUUAAGUUAAAGGUACCAUCAUUUUUGUCCAGGUCAGUUCGAUUUGUUUAGUUUUUGAAAUGAUUCUGUUGAACCACACACAAUGCAAUGUCCGAUUAUCAUUACGUCAUGUUCGGUGAAUUUUCAUUUAUUAUUGCUUUUCUAAGUUUCAAGUUAUUUCACUGACCAUUGUGGGUUUUUUUGUGUUAACAGAAUGAUUUCGUAAACUGUAUAUUUACAAACAUAUGCACGUUGUGAUGCAUUCAUGUGGUGACGGAAAUUCUCCUCUCCCGGUUUGUGAGUCGUUUCCUCGACCUUUUUAUGUUCACGUCUCUAUAAUUUAUGUAUACAUCCAGGGAAAUUAGUAAAAUACUGUGGAUAAGACGUUGACAUCAGUCAGCUGCUACCAAAAUUAUGACAGAAGCGAUCCAUUCUUCAGGGCAUCAACAAACUGCAACUUUAUUUGCAAUGUACGUGAUGAGAGACAUAUGAGAGAGGAAAAAACAGGCUGCAGCUCUCAAAGGGGGAGGUCCCCAGACUUUUGCCAUGUGAAAGGGCACCUCUUUUUAGAGAGCCGGUUCUUUUGGCUCAGCUUACUAAAAAGAGCCGUCUCUUUCGGCUGCCAAGUGGCUCCUCAGAUUUUUUUGUUGAUUUAAUUAAUUCAUUAUCAAAAAUAAUAUCAAAUUAUGUGUAAAAUGACUUGUAUAAAAAACAUGCAUUAUAUUGAAUGUUUAUUAUUUAUAUGGCUUUAUUUCUAAAUUCAAAAUAAACCGGAACAGAGUGCUACAAAAAGUACAAAAUAAAUAUACAAUAAAAAAUUGAAUAUAAAAUAAAAAAACAUCUCAAUCGAACAAAAAGGUCAAUUAUUAUUGACCAAACCAAAACCCAACCAAAAACCCAACCAAAAACCCAACAAAACAAAGUCCAAACUCCUCCCAAUUUGUAAAAAGGCUGAAACUGUAAGGAAGGUCAGCUGACCGAAGACGGCUUUGCAACACUGAGAUUACUGGUAAGUCCCCUUUUUUCGGUUAUAACAAUAUUAAUAAUAAUAAUAAUAAUAUUCAUAGUAUUAUUGUUAUUAUUAUUAUUAUUAUUAUCAUUAUUAUUUUUACAUUAAUUCAAAAAUUAGCCAAAAAACUUUUAAGUUUCUGUAAACCCCUUCCCCUUCUGCUUACCACACAUGUUGGCCAAUCACGUGCGGCUUUAACAGAAAAAAGGAAAAAAAACAAAAAAAAAAAAACAAAAAAAAAAACAAAUCCGUCGUUCAUUUCAAAGAGCCGACUCUUUGAGCUGGAUCGUUCGCCACCGACACAUCACUACUUGAAUGAGUGUCAGUCUAUUCAGAGACAGAGAACAUCAAGUCAGAGCAGAGUAUUUUAAAGUGAGCAAAGUGAAAGAAAGCAAGAAAAACGAGAUCAAUUCACUGAAAAUGGAGUCUACUGAAGGAAAGCGAGCUGUCAUUGAAUAGCAACAGAAAGUGAGUUAAUGAUAUGGUAGAUGUGGUAACGGCUAUUGGCUCUCGCCUACCGUUAACUCGCCGGCUAACGUUUGUGGCCGUUAGUGCUGUUAGCACUUAACUACUGUUAGCUCACCUGCUAGUGCUGUUGCUCCCAAGGCACAAUCCAAGAACUAUGGUGACAUUCUCUUGUAAUGUCACCAAAAGUACAUUUGUUUAUUAGUUUAUUUUUUGUGUAGAACCCCUGUUGCGGUACCGGUGCCAGAGCCGUUUUGUGCCUGUGCCCCGCCGAACACAGAGAUCGGUGAGCAUUAUUGGUCUUAAUGAAUUAUUUUGUUUAAUUUUGCAAUUGAAUUGGUUCAUGAUUGUAUUAUAGAGUGUAGACGUUGAAACGGUUACAAGAAGAUGUGCAAUAUUGCAUAUUGUUAUAUUGCCAUGGUAACUGUUGCCAUGGUAACCGUGAAUGACGAACUGUACUAAGUAACUGAUGAUAUUUCUCUGAUCCUGUCUGUUGACAGGUCAGGUUUUUUGUUUUGUUUUGUUUGUUUGUUUUUGUUCUUUUGGAUUUUGUUUACCUGUUCCUGUAACGUGAAGUGAAGUGAAGCGAUGGCGAGCCACCCACUUGAUCUAGAGUGAAGUGAAUCCUAGAUAUCCCCUCGUCACUGGACAGGUCCUGCUACACUCUCUGGUGUGGUAGGCUCAACAUCUGGAACACCCUCACAUUCAGCCCUCUCACACAAUUCCCCAGACUUACAUUUUCUCCAUCCCUGGAACACUGGACCUGCACUCAUCUUUUGUCUUUUUCUUGGAAAUUGAACCUAUCCUGGGAUUGUAAAUGCAUGGCUGUUGUGUAGGAUAAUUCUCCUCAAGUGAAUUGUGUUGUGAUGCAUUUUAAAUGAUAUUUUGUUUCUUUUAUUUCUUUGGUUUAUUGAAAAUGUUACAUUGGAUUAAAGAAACUAAGAAGUUAAUAGGGUGCACCAAAAUCAGAAUAUUUAGCUUAAUCAGAUAACCAACUGAUAUUAUUGUAAAUAAUAUCUAUUUAAUUAUUAUGUUUUGUCAGACAAUUUUGUUUGUCUUAACUGUUUAUUUACCCAUCUAUUUGUUCAUCUAUUUAUCUGUUUAUUCUGUUCUAAUCAAUUCAUUUUUUAUUUAUUUGUUUUCUAACUAAAGCCGGCAUUACUUUUAUAUUUAAAAUUUUGCCUCCUGGGUGUCAUUCUUACAUUUCACGGUGCUCCAGUAGUCGAACCUAUCCAAUCUACUAAACCACAAAUCUUGGUAUUACGAAAUCCCUCAUAAGUGUUACAGAUAGGUAGUAAGGGGUCAAUGAGUUGCCCCUGUAUCCUCCACCUCCUAACUGUCCUUUUGGAGACGGGCUGUCACUCAACUGCAGAACUCAGGUGACAACAAGACCAGGUUGUGAUCAGAUCGACCCAAUGGGGGCAGGUCAGUGAAACUAUAUGCAUGUUUUGGCAAGUUGACAAAACAGUGCCCUAGGUAUUAUGAUUUAAGUCCCUGGAAAUGAUAACAAGAGCCUACGGGUGUUUGGACUGUUGCCUAGCAACAGUUGUGUGGAUUGCGUCACAUGCUGGUGCCUUGACAGCUGAAGGAGGGAUGUAAACUAAGAUGACAUAGGUGAAUUCCCUCUGUAAAUAAUACAGACACAUUCCCACAGUGUACAGACACGCUCCUUCACAGUUGUAUGAGCAGGAGUGCACUGUCUCUCAUUAACCAAAACAGCAAUCCUGCUGCCCUUCUUCUUACCGCUCAAGGGCGCAUCUCUAUCUGCCCAUACAGACUUAAAGCCAGGUAUUGAAGCCAGGGAAGUCCACAUGCAGUCGGGUUUCCAUAAAACACAAAAUACUACUGACUGUAUAUUCCCUCCGGGUUCUUAAAAGCGCACAUGGUUCAUCCAUCUUAUUAGUGAGAGACCUCACGUUCUUCAAUAAGGACAGAUGGCACUCCUGGUUUGAAUUUACUUGUCGACUUGUCAACACCAAAACCAAGCAACGGGGAAUACCAAUUCACAAGUGAGAAGAUGAUUUAUAUUAUUUAACUGUUAAUAAUGUGUUGAAUGUAUCUCUAAAGCUUACGUAAAUUAACUGCAUCUUGUUACUAGCUUAUGUAAGGAUAAGAAAGCAAAAUGUUUUUGUUAGUAAGACAGCAGUAAUAUGAUAAAAGUGACAUUUAGAAAUCAGCCACUGUAUGUAAUUGUACUAAUUAGGAAAUGUUGUUCCUAAACCAUCUAUCAGUUUCAUAUAUAACAUCAAUGUUAACUGUUAACGUAAGUUUUGUGUCUGGACUGUAGCUACAUAAACAGAACCCAGUGUUGGUCAGAUGGAGUUGUUUUGUCCUUAAAAUGUAAAGUGCGUUAUAAAUAAAAUAUAUUAUUAUUAUAUAUGAUAUAUGUCCCUCCUCAGCGGACAAGGAAACACCAUGCAAUGACAUGAUCCCCGCUAAUCUUUUUUUGUUUGAAUUUUCUUGUGCUAUUUUUCAGAGUGUUUUAUGUGCGACGAAGCUAUGGUGACAAAGUAAUUUCCCUUGUGGAUCAUUAAAGUCUGUCUAAGUGUUAUUUAACAUAUACUCUUCUUGUAACUGUAUCUUGUUUUAUUUUGAUAAUUAUAUCAUAAACUCUAUUGUAUUAUUAUUAAAUAUAUCAACUAAUCUA